AGAGCGAACGCUGGCGGCAGGCCUAACACAUGCAAGUCGAGCGGUCGUAGCAAUACGGCAGCGGCAGACGGGAGAGUAACACGUGGGAACGCGCCCUUCGGUUCGGAAUAACUCAGGGAAACUUGGGCUAAUACCGGAUACGCCCUUACGGGGAAAGAUUUAUUGCCGAAGGAACGGCCCGCGUCCGAUUAGCUUGUUGGUGAGGUAACGGCUCACCAAGGCGACGAUCGGUAGCUGGUCUGAGAGGAUGACCAGCCUCACUGGGACUGAGACACGGCCCAGACUCCUACGGGAGGCAGCAGUGGGGAAUAUUGGACAAUGGGCGCAAGCCUGAUCCAGCCAUGCCGCGUGAGUGAUGAAGGCCUUAGGGUUGUAAAGCUCUUUUAGCAGGGAAGAUAAUGACGGUACCUGCAGAAAAGCCCGGCUAACUUCGUGCCAGCAGCCGC
This 446-nucleotide ribosomal RNA is filed under the name uncultured bacterium. Its description in RNAcentral is "SSU rRNA". It matches the Rfam family "Bacterial small subunit ribosomal RNA", at positions 26 to 518 of the family's 1533-position model. The record is from RNAcentral.